UACAGAGGUCCCAAGCGUUGUUCGGAUUCAUUGGGCGUAAAGGGUGCGAGUAGGCGGCGCGGUAAGUCGGGUGUGAAAGUCUCGGGGCUUAACUCCGAAACUGCAUUCGAUACUGCCGUGCUUGAGGACUGGAGAGGAGUACUGGAAUUUACGGUGGUAGCGGUGAAAUGCGUAGAUAUCGAUAAGGAAGACCAGUGGCGA
Molecule: ribosomal RNA, 201 nt
Filed under: uncultured bacterium
Lineage: Bacteria
Description: partial 16S ribosomal RNA
Rfam family: Bacterial small subunit ribosomal RNA
Source: RNAcentral